AUGAACGCUGGCGGCGUGCCUAAUACAUGCAAGUCGAGCGAACAGACGAGGAGCUUGCUCCUCUGACGUUAGCGGCGGACGGGUGAGUAACACGUGGAUAACCUACCUAUAAGACUGGGAUAACUUCGGGAAACCGGAGCUAAUACCGGAUAAUAUAUUGAACCGCAUGGUUCAAUAGUGAAAGACGGUUUUGCUGUCACUUAUAGAUGGAUCCGCGCCGCAUUAGCUAGUUGGUAAGGUAACGGCUUACCAAGGCGACGAUGCGUAGCCGACCUGAGAGGGUGCUCGGCCACACUGGAACUGAGACACGGUCCAGACUCCUACGGGAGGCAGCAGUAGGGAAUCUUCCGCAAUGGGCGAAAGCUUGACGGAGCAACGCCGCGUGAGUGAUGAAGGUCUUCGGAUCGUAAAACUCUGUUAUUAGGGAAGAACAAAUGUGUAAGUAACUAUGCACGUCUUGACGGUACCUAAUCAGAAAGCCACGGCUAACUACGUG
Molecule: ribosomal RNA, 496 nt
Filed under: uncultured bacterium
Lineage: Bacteria
Description: partial 16S ribosomal RNA
Rfam family: Bacterial small subunit ribosomal RNA
Source: RNAcentral